This 459-nucleotide ribosomal RNA is filed under the name uncultured bacterium. RNAcentral's name for it is "partial 16S ribosomal RNA". It matches the Rfam family "Bacterial small subunit ribosomal RNA", at positions 338 to 795 of the family's 1533-position model. The record is from RNAcentral.
CCUACGGGUGGCUGCAGUGAGGAAUAUUGGUCAAUGGCCGGAAGGCUGAACCAGCCAAGCCGCGUGAAGGACGAAGGUGCCAAGCAUUGUAAACUUCUUUUGUCAAGGAACAAAAUCAGGCUCGAGAGCCUGACCGCGGGUACUUGCAGAAAAAGCAUCGGCUAACUCCGUGCCAGCAGCCGCGGUAAUACGGGGGAUGCGAGCGUUAUCCGGAUUUAUUGGGGUUAAGGGGUGCGUAGGUGGACUGUUAAGUCAGAGGGAAAAGCCCGGGGCUCAACCCCGGCGAGCCUUUGAAACUGGUUGGCUUGAGAUGUCGAGAGGUAAGCGGAAUGCGCAGUGUAGCGGUGAAAUGCUUAGAUAUUGGGCAGAACUCCGAUUGCGAAGGCAGCAUACCGGCGGCGAUCUGACGCUGAGGCACGAAAGCGUGGGUAUCGAACAGGAUUAGAUACCCUUGUAGUC